This 403-nucleotide ribosomal RNA is filed under the name uncultured Methanosaeta sp. Its description in RNAcentral is "bacterial SSU rRNA". It matches the Rfam family "Archaeal small subunit ribosomal RNA", at positions 937 to 1338 of the family's 1478-position model. The record is from RNAcentral. Lineage: Archaea; Methanobacteriati; Methanobacteriota; Methanomicrobia; Methanotrichales; Methanotrichaceae.
CGACAGCAAUAUAGAAGGUCAGGCUGAAGACCUUACCCGAUUAGCUGAGAGGUGGUGCAUGGCCGUCGUCAGUUCGUACUGUGAAGCAUCCUGUUAAGUCAGGCAACGAGCGAGACCCACGUCCACAGUUGCCAGCAUACCCUCCGGGGUGAUGGGUACACUGUGGAGACCGCCGCUGCUAAAGCGGAGGAAGGAGUGGGCAACGGUAGGUCAGUAUGCCCCGAAUCUCCCGGGCUACACGCGGGCUACAAUGGUUGGUACAAUGGGCAUCUACCCCGAAAGGGGAAGGAAAUCUCUUAAAGCCAAUCGUAGUUCGGAUUGAGGGCUGCAACUCGCCCUCAUGAAGCUGGAAUCCGUAGUAAUCGCGUUUCAACAGAACGCGGUGAAUACGUCCCUGCUCCUU